GUGCCAGCAGCCGCGGUAAGACGUAGGAGGCGAGCGUUAUCCGGAUUCACUGGGCGUAAAGCGCAUGUAGGCGGAUGAACAAGUCAUGUGUUAAAGCCCCUGGCUCAACUGGGGGAGGUCAUGUGAGACUGUUCGUCUUGAGGGCAGCAGAGGCACGUGGAACUCCCGGUGUAGCGGUGGAAUGCGUAGAGAUCGGGAAGAACACCCGUGGCGAAGGCGACGUGCUGGGCUGCGACUGACGCUGAGAUGCGAAAGUGUGGGGAGCAAACGGGAUUAGAUACCCCGGUAGUCCACACUGUAAACGAUGAACCCUAGGUGUGGGGGAGUAAAAUCCUCUGUGCCGAAGCCAACGCGUUAAGGGUUCCGCCUGGGGACUAUGAGCGCAAGCUUAAA
RNAcentral lists this ribosomal RNA (393 nucleotides) under uncultured bacterium. RNAcentral describes it as "bacterial SSU rRNA". It matches the Rfam family "Bacterial small subunit ribosomal RNA", at positions 505 to 898 of the family's 1533-position model. The record is from RNAcentral.